RNAcentral lists this long non-coding RNA (229 nucleotides) under Capsicum annuum. RNAcentral describes it as "long non-coding RNA (CANN_LNC017613)". Lineage: Eukaryota; Viridiplantae; Streptophyta; Magnoliopsida; Solanales; Solanaceae. The record is from RNAcentral.
GGAAAUUUAAAAAAAAAGAGUUGAAGAAAACUCCUUCUCCAAAGAAGCAAAAAACUAAAAAGCGGUAUGAGAAGAAAAGGAAAUCUAAAGAAAUUGAAGAUGAUGUUGACAAAUCUUAUGAUGAAUCUGAAGAAGAAAGUGAGGAAGAGGUAUUUUUUUUGUUUGUAAAUGUAUUUUUUAUAUUAGGUUCAAGUAAUUAAUAUGUAUUUUCUGUUAUGAUGAUAUUUAG